Molecule: long non-coding RNA, 1350 nt
Organism: Pecten maximus
Lineage: Eukaryota; Metazoa; Mollusca; Bivalvia; Pectinida; Pectinidae
Exons: 3
Source: RefSeq, a predicted model, not a curated record
CUUCAGAUAGCUGACAGGGUAAUUGUAUAUCGUGAUGAGGCACUACUCUACAGACGAUGAUGAUGAACAAAUAACUACGUUGACGAAGGAUUUUACAAGACUAAAGCGUACAAGAUGUUAGCACCUUUCAAUACAAGUUGAGAGUUGGAGAGAGCUGAACAUGAUUUCAUCUUCAUCAUACAACUGUUUCCUUGCUUCGGACUUUCUGAUCGCAAAAAAAAUGACGUUUACAAGGUUUACCCGGAAUAAGUCAUAGUUGAGAGAACUAUACUGGUGUCUAAGCUGAAGCUUAUAGACAUAUAUAUGUAUGUAUUUAAAUCGCGGUCCCCAAUUCCAAAUGGGAAGGAGAAGAUGUAUCAUCUAGUUUCGAGGAUAUUUUAAAGAUAUUAAGCGAGAUUGUUGAUGAUUAAACAGAAUGUUUGAGAUUAUUUAAAAAAAAAUAGUGUAGAAGAUAAAAAAAAAAGAGAUUGUUGUUGAUAGUCUGAAAAAGGGGAUUCUAUAGUUACCUCCAUUUCUAUUCUUAGUGAAUAGCCGAAUAAAGACGAAAGCUAGUCGGGUGUGUGACGAGUAUGCAUUCUAUAAAAGAGUUGUGGUUUUUUUCUCUCUUUUCCUUCUGGAAAAUAGUGUUUCUAACCCCAUUUCAAAAUGUACUGAAUGUGUACUGGCAUAAGAAGGGAGGACGUUCUAAUUCUAACAGCUUCAAAUUACGCUUUUCUAAUUUUUCAAAUUCGGAUUAAAGCAACCGUCCACAUGCAUAUUCUAAUAUGGAUAAAGUUAGGUAAAACUAAAAGAAACAUUAAAACUCAUUAAAAGAACAUCUCGUUUUAAUAAGAAUUCAACUUUCUCGGGACAUUUAACCUCUUCGUGAAUAUCAUUUCUAUAGGAGAUAAAAGGACAUCAGUUUAUCGGGAUUUAAAGCUACAAGCCAAGUUUUUGAUGAACUUCCCCUCUAAACACACAGGUGGACAACACCUUACACCUUGAGUACAAACAUAAUCAUACCAUAGAAACAUAGGUAUGCCGAAAAAUGAAUAUUAUUUUUCCGCGAUAUUGACGAAAGUAAAAAAUCUAAAAUCAGAAGUCAAAAGGUCCCUCACGGCUUCUGUAUUUAAUAACAAGUGGUCUCAUGGUUGCUCUUGAGAAAAUGCAUGUCGUUUUCACUUUGGGCACGUGUAUAUAGGGUCGAGAUAGCUCAGUCAGUUAGUCUCAGAGAAAGGCUCGAGGUGCGUGGUCGACGCCCGUAUACCAUAUUAAUUCAAAGUAUUAUCUAAUGAUUAUAUGUAUGAAAUUUCAUAGCAUUACUCUAGGUGGAAAAUGUGUACCGCUUUAGUAUUAUGUAACAUGUACACU